AACGAACGCUGGCGGCAUGCCUAACACAUGCAAGUCGAACGAGACCUUCGGGUCUAGUGGCGCACGGGUGCGUAACGCGUGGGAACCUGCCCUUAGGUUCGGAAUAACUCCCCGAAAGGGGUGCUAAUACCGGAUAAUGUCUUCGGACCAAAGAUUUAUCGCCUUUGGAUGGGCCCGCGUUGGAUUAGCUAGUUGGUAGGGUAAAAGCCUACCAAGGCGACGAUCCAUAGCUGGUCUGAGAGGAUGAUCAGCCACACUGGGACUGAGACACGGCCCAGACCCCUGCGGGAGGAAGAGGGGGGAAAUAUUGAAAAGGGGGAGAAGGCCUAACCAAGCAGUGCCGCGUGAGUAAGAAGGCCUUUGGGGUUGAAAAGCUUUUUCACCGGGAAUGAAAAGGAGAGCACGGGGAAAAUGGCCCCCGGCAAGCCCCGUC
Molecule: ribosomal RNA, 433 nt
Filed under: uncultured bacterium
Lineage: Bacteria
Description: partial 16S ribosomal RNA
Rfam family: Bacterial small subunit ribosomal RNA
Source: RNAcentral